CAGUCGCCGCGGGAAUACGAAGGGUGCAAGCGUUAAUCGGAAUUACUGGGCGUAAAGCGUGCGUAGGCGGUGAGUUAAGUCUGCUGUGAAAUCCCCGGGCUCAACCUGGGAAUGGCAGUGGAUACUGGCUCGCUAGAGUGUGUCAGAGGAUGGUGGAAUUCCCGGUGUAGCGGUGAAAUGCGUAGAGAUCGGGAGGAGCAUCAGUGGCGAAGGCGGCCAUCUGGGACAACACUGACGCUGAGGCACGAAAGCGUGGGGAGCAAACAGGAUUAGAUACACGCGUAGUCCCUGUCUCUUAUAC
RNAcentral lists this ribosomal RNA (301 nucleotides) under uncultured bacterium. Its description in RNAcentral is "partial 16S ribosomal RNA". It matches the Rfam family "Bacterial small subunit ribosomal RNA", at positions 509 to 807 of the family's 1533-position model. The record is from RNAcentral.